CCAAUAGCGUAUAUUAAAGUUGUUGCAGUUAAAAAGCUCGUAGUUGAAUUUCGGGAUCAAUAUGUUUGGUCGUGCCUCGGUACGUACUAGCUUAUUGGUUUCUCCUUUCUGAAGAACCAUGAUGUCAUUCAUUUGGUGUCGUGGGGAAUCAGGACUGUUACUUUGAAAAAAUUAGAGUGUUUAAAGCAGGCUCACGCUUGAAUACAUUAGCAUGGAAUAAUGAAAUAGGACGUUUGAUUCUAUUUUGUUGGUUUCUAGGAUCGACGUAAUGAUUAAUAGGGAUAGUUGGGGGCAUUAGUAUUCAAUUGUCAGAGGUGAAAUUCUUGGAUUUAUUGAAGACUAACUACUGCGAAAGCAUUUGCCAAGGAUGUUUUCAUUAAUCAAGAACGAAAGUUAGGGGAUCGAAGACGAUCAGAUACCGUCGUAGUCUUAACCAUAAACUAUGCCGACUAGGGAUCGGAUGAUGUUAAUUUUUUUAAUGACUCAUUCGGCGCCUUACG
This 500-nucleotide ribosomal RNA is filed under the name uncultured Glomeromycotina. RNAcentral describes it as "partial small subunit ribosomal RNA". It matches the Rfam family "Eukaryotic small subunit ribosomal RNA", at positions 591 to 1092 of the family's 1831-position model. Lineage: Eukaryota; Fungi; Glomeromycota. The record is from RNAcentral.